CAGCAGCCGCGGUAACACGGAGGGUCCGAGCGUUAAUCGGAAUUACUGGGCGUAAAGCGUGCGCAGGCGGUUUGUUAAGCGAGAUGUGAAAGGCCUGGGCUCAACCUAGGAAUAGCAUUUCGAACUGGCGAACUAGAGUCUUGUAGAGGGGGGUAGAAUUCCAGGUGUAGCGGUGAAAUGCGUAGAGAUCUGGAGGAAUACCGGUGGCGAAGGCGGCCCCCUGGACAAAGACUGACGCUCAUGCACGAAAGCGUGGGGAGCAAACAGGAUUAGAGACCCGCGUAGUCCCUGUCUCUUAUAU
This 301-nucleotide ribosomal RNA is filed under the name uncultured bacterium. RNAcentral's name for it is "partial 16S ribosomal RNA". It matches the Rfam family "Bacterial small subunit ribosomal RNA", at positions 509 to 809 of the family's 1533-position model. The record is from RNAcentral.